Molecule: long non-coding RNA, 285 nt
Filed under: Monodelphis domestica (gray short-tailed opossum)
Lineage: Eukaryota; Metazoa; Chordata; Mammalia; Didelphimorphia; Didelphidae
Description: lncRNA (ENSMODG00000035916.2)
Source: RNAcentral
UUGUAUUAAAUUUUCUCCCUUUCCUUCAAUGACAAACUAUUAAUUGGUGUCAGAUAAUUGGAAGGUUUAUGAGAAGAGUCCACCAUCUUGUCAGGAACUGCUCCAUAUUUAAUAAAAUAAAUAAAUGAGAAAAAAAGAAAUUACUCAUUAUGAAAUUUAAAUUCUUCACCUCUGCGGAGGAAUAAUUAACUGGAGGAAUUCCAUGUGAACUGAAACAAUCUCCAGAAAUUGAUGCAAAGUGAAAGGAGCAGAACCAGGAGAACAUUAUGCACAGAGACUGAUAUA